Molecule: ribosomal RNA, 291 nt
Filed under: uncultured bacterium
Lineage: Bacteria
Description: partial 16S ribosomal RNA
Rfam family: Bacterial small subunit ribosomal RNA
Source: RNAcentral
GGAUUAGAUACCCUGGUAGUCCACGCCGUAAACGAUGAACACUAGAUGUUGGUGUCGAUAGGCAUCAGUGUCGCAGCUAACGCAUUAAGUGUUCCACCUGGGGAGUACGAUCGCAAGGUUGAAACUCAAAGGAAUUGACGGGGGCCCGCACAAGCAGUGGAGCAUGUGGUUUAAUUCGAUGCAACGCGAAGAACCUUACCUAGGCUUGAAAUGCAGUGGACAGGUUGUGAAAGCAAUCCUCUCUUCGGAGCCGCUGUACAGGUGCUGCAUGGCUGUCGUCAGCUCGUGUUG